Molecule: ribosomal RNA, 449 nt
Filed under: uncultured bacterium
Lineage: Bacteria
Description: partial 16S ribosomal RNA
Rfam family: Bacterial small subunit ribosomal RNA
Source: RNAcentral
AGCGAACGCUGGCGGCAGGCCUAACACAUGCAAGUCGAACGGACCUUUCGGGGUGAGUGGCAGACGGGUGAGUAACGCGUGGGAACGUGCCCUUCAGUUCGGGAUAACCCAGGGAAACUUGGGCUAAUACCGGAUACGUGCGAGAGCAGAAAGAUUUAUCGCUGAAGGAUCGGCCCGCGUCUGAUUAGCUAGUUGGUGGGGUAAUGGCCCACCAAGGCGACGAUCAGUAGCUGGUCUGAGAGGAUGAUCAGCCACAUUGGGACUGAGACACGGCCCAAACUCCUACGGGAGGCAGCAGUGGGGAAUAUUGGACAAUGGGCGCAAGCCUGAUCCAGCCAUGCCGCGUGAGUGAUGAAGGCCUUAGGGUUGUAAAGCUCUUUCGUCCGGGACGAUAAUGACGGUACCGGAAGAAGAAGCCCCGGCUAACUUCGUGCCAGCCGCCGCAGUAA